This 304-nucleotide ribosomal RNA is filed under the name uncultured bacterium. Its description in RNAcentral is "partial 16S ribosomal RNA". It matches the Rfam family "Bacterial small subunit ribosomal RNA", at positions 506 to 807 of the family's 1533-position model. The record is from RNAcentral.
CAGCAGUAGCCGCGGUAAUACGGAGGGGGCUAGCGUUGUUCGGAAUUACUGGGCGUAAAGCGCACGUAGGCGGCUUGGUAAGUUAGAGGUGAAAGCCCGGAGCUCAACUCCGGAAUUGCCUUUAAGACUGCCGAGCUAGUAGGUGAGAGAGGUAAGUGGAAUUCCGAGUGUAGAGGUGAAAUUCGUAGAUAUUCGGAAGAACACCAGUGGCGAAGGCGACUGACUGGACAAGUAUUGACGCUGAGGUGCGAAAGCGUGGGGAGCAAACAGGAUUAGAUACCCCCGUAGUCCCUGUCUCUUAUAC